GUGGAUUAGAUACCCCGGUAGUCCACGCCGUAAACGAUGAUAACUCGUUGUUGGCGAUACACAGUCAGCGACUGAGCGAAAGCAUUAAGUUAUCCACCUGGGGAGUACGGUCGCAAGACUGAAACUCAAAGGAAUUGACGGGGGCCCGCACAAGCGGAGGAACAUGUGGUUUAAUUCGAUGAUACGCGAGGAACCUUACCUGGGCUUAAAUGGGAGAUGAAUGAUUUGGAAACAGAUAGUCUCUUCGGAGCAUCUUUCAAGGUGCUGCACGGUUGUCGACAACU
Molecule: ribosomal RNA, 284 nt
Filed under: uncultured bacterium
Lineage: Bacteria
Description: partial 16S ribosomal RNA
Rfam family: Bacterial small subunit ribosomal RNA
Source: RNAcentral